AUGAGAUUAAAUAUGGAUAUUAUAGAUUACCGAUCAAAAGACAUAGAAAAAGAAGAUUAUACUAAGUAUGAUAAUUAUCGCCCAUUUAUUUUUACUGUUAAAAAAUAUGAACGCGUUAAAAAACAAAAAGAUUAUAUAAAUAUGUUACUAAGCAUAUUUAUAAGCAUAAAUAAUUUAAUUAUUAAUUUUGAAGUGUUAAAAGCACAAAAUGUAAUAGAUAUGUGUGAUGUUAAAAAUAUAUAUAAUAAAAUAAAAUUAAAUAGAAAAAAAAUGACAAGUUAUAAUCAAAAAGUUCAAAACAAAAAUGAGCAUAAUAAUACACAUAAAACCAAAAUAAAAUUAAAUAGCAAAACUAGCGACAAUAAAUCAAGAAAAAAUAAUAAACAAACAACAGAUAUAGAAUUGGAAGAAAUAAGUAGUGUAUGCACUAUGUUUUCGGGAUGUGUAAAUGAUGAAGAAGCAGCAAAGGAAAAAGAGGAUACAGAGGGUAAAGAGAAAAAUGGGUAUAUGGAGUGGCAGGAAGGGGAACAAGAUAUAAGAUACGAGAUGAGAAACGAUGUAAGAUACGAUAUAAAAGAUCAGAUAAAAGAUCAGAUAAAAGAUCAGAUAAAAGAUCAGAUAAAUGAUGAGAUAAAAGAUGAGAUAAAUUAUGAGAGAGAAUAUAAAGAAGGACAUGAGGUAGGACAUAAUAUAAAACAUGAUAAAACAGAUGAAACGCAAUACGAACUAACAAAUACAGACACUGGUUACUGCCAUUGUGAUCAUUUUAAUAAAAUAAUAAAAAAAUAUCAUGUAAAUAAAAAAAUCGAAACAAAUAUAAAAAAAAAUAUAGAAAUAAAAUUAAAUAAUAAUUAUGACAAUUCUUUUUUAAAAGUUGGUAAUGUAUAUAAAUAUAUUUAUUAUAACUCUGUUUGUUCAUUAAUUAUAUAUUAUUAUUUAUGUAUUGAUAGAGAAUCUGGUACUGACUUAAUGCGUAUAUUAUUUGAUAAAAAUGGGAAUGAUAGUAGACGAAUAGGACAGAGUAAUUAUAAAAAGCAUAACAGGGGUGACAGGGGUGAUAAAAAUAACGAACGAAUCAGAAACAGCAACCCUGAACACUUUUUCAAACUAGUAAAAAAACAAUGCAGUUGUGAUAUAUAUGAAUUUAUUUUAACUACUCAUUUAUUAUAUACAGUGAAAAGAAAAACUUAUAUUAUUUUAAAACCAUUAUUUGAUAAUUUUAAUAAUAGAACAUACUUAUUAAUUAUUUUGUUUUAUGUUUUAAAGAAUUUUUUUAUAAAUAUAAAUGAAACAAGUAGAGUUGACAUUGCGAUAGGGACUAAAUUUGUUUAUCUAUUUAAAAAUAAGAUAAAUAUAUUAGCAUCCAAUAUAUUAAUUUAUCACAAUUUUAUAUUAUUUCUGUUAGAUAAUUAUUAUAUAUUGCGUGGAGAUAAAUGUUAUGAAAAAAAAAAAAAUGAAUAA
Long non-coding RNA from Piliocolobus tephrosceles (Ugandan red Colobus), 1461 nucleotides. The record is from Ensembl. Lineage: Eukaryota; Metazoa; Chordata; Mammalia; Primates; Cercopithecidae.